GUCCACGCCCUAAACGAUGAUGACUAGUUGUUGGAGGAGUUAAAUCCUUUAGUAACGCAGCUAACGCGAGAAGUCAUCCGCCUGGGGAGUACGGUCGCAAGAUUAAAACUCAAAGGAAUUGACGGGGGCCCGCACAAGCGGUGGAUGAUGUGGUUUAAUUCGACGCAACGCGAAAACCUUAACCUACCCUUGACAUGUACGGAACUUCACAGAGAUGUGGAGGUGCCCGAAAGGGAGCCGUAACACAGGUGCUGCAUGGCUGUCGU
RNAcentral lists this ribosomal RNA (266 nucleotides) under uncultured bacterium. RNAcentral describes it as "partial 16S ribosomal RNA". It matches the Rfam family "Bacterial small subunit ribosomal RNA", at positions 793 to 1055 of the family's 1533-position model. The record is from RNAcentral.